Molecule: ribosomal RNA, 738 nt
Filed under: Triticum aestivum (bread wheat)
Lineage: Eukaryota; Viridiplantae; Streptophyta; Magnoliopsida; Poales; Poaceae
Description: partial small subunit ribosomal RNA
Source: RNAcentral
AUGCCGCCGGAUCCGGGAACAGGGCAUCGCACCCUGCAGCCGCCGUUCGGGUCGAGCGGGGCGGCGGCGAACGCCGGUGCUCCUCUGCUUCCUCGACCUCCAAGGACGCAGGCCCCGGAUUCGUGCUCGCCUUCUUCCUCCACCAGCCUUGGUGCCCAAUUCCCUACAGCCGCCGUCGCCGUCGUGGAUUCCCAAGGUCCCAUCCGCCUCUCGUCUUUCCUAUUUCGAUUUUCACCGUCGAUGUGUGUGUGUGUGUGUGUGUGUGUGUGUGAUCAAUUUGCUUUUUUUGAUUCCAAGCAGCAGGCGAGGAGCAUGAGGACCGAGCUCGAGCGCGACCACGACGCAGCGCACAAGGUCCCUGUUUCCUGCACAAGUAUACACAGCACCUUGCUUGGUUGGGGAGCAGCAACAUCAAGGCUGUUGAACAAACAACAAUAUCGAGACGUUGAACAAAUAGCAACAUCUGUUGCUGAUAGCGUACUGAGGUGUUUCAGCACCAACGCUUGGAUGACCAACGAGGAACAAGCAAUGGCGGUGUCUGCCGAUUUGCCGCCUCAACAAGGUCUCGUUCCUCCCUGGUUUGCGCAAGCUUCGUCAGGCAACUGCAGAUCCCGUACGACCAUGGCCCACACCCCUGAAGCUUCCCCUGUCCGCAACAACUUCUGGAUCAAAGGAUUGUUGCUUAAUCCCAGGCUGCUCUACCUUGAAGGAAAAGGGGUCGUCCUUGAGAUCAUAUAG